Molecule: long non-coding RNA, 820 nt
Filed under: Drosophila guanche
Lineage: Eukaryota; Metazoa; Arthropoda; Insecta; Diptera; Drosophilidae
Source: RNAcentral
CGCAAAGUGUAGCCAAAGACGUGGCACAAGGACGCAGGAGGCGAAUGAUAAAAAAUAAAAAGGGGCAAACGAACGACUGGGGAGUGGAGUGUACAGUGUAGAGUCUAGAGUCUAGAGUGUGGGCGUGGCCAUUACACACAUUGUAAAGUAGAAAGCCAUUGUGUACCCGUGGCUGCUCCUCCUCCUUCCGUUGAUAUCUUCUAAUUGGAGUCCAACAAAGACGUUAAGGCUCCGGCUCCGGCCCCGGUCCCAGGUCCCGGUCACUCAUACGGUCUGCUCACUCUGUUGUCCACACCCAUAACGAUGCCAAGCACCCAGUUAUAGUCCCCUGUCCUCUGGCUCCUUCUGGCAACGCUUAUCCCUUUUGUCAGUUGCUAAUAAACACGAGAAGCAAGCGUAUAAAUUGUUGACAUCUUACUACUGCUGUUGCCGGCAACUGUUGUUGACAGAAACACAACGAAGGAGAGACCGAGACGGCAUGUGGCAGGAACUGACUGCAGAAGAGGGAUCGCAUGAACACAAAGACUGACAACAGUUGUAGCAUUUUUCAUACGUCAGCGAAAAAGUCUCUUUGUGUGUGAAUGGCUAAUAACACUGCCCCACAAAGUGAAGUGAAAAUGUGUCGUCUGUCCCCGGCGGCACUGGAGAGUCAAUUUGGAUGAUUUUUGAUGGUUUAAAUUCUGACUUCGGAUUAGGUUACAGUGAAUGGAAUGUUGAAAUGUUGAUUGGGUUUGCAAUAAUGCAUUAAUUAAAGUCAAUUUGUUCGUUCUUUCGCUGCUCAAAUUAGUUACUAUUAGUUCAAAUAAAUCUAGAACUUAUA